CAGUCGCCACGGUAAUACGAGGGGGGCAAGCGUUGUUCGGAAUUAUUGGGCGUAAAGCGUGCGUAGGCGGUGAGUUAAGUCUGAUGUGAAAUCCCCGGGCUCAACCUGGGAAUGGCAGUGGAUACUGGCUCGCUAGAGUGUGUCAGAGGAUAGUGGAAUUCCCGGUGUAGCGGUGAAAUGCGUAGAGAUCGGGAGGAACAUCAGUGGCGAAGGCGGCCAUCUGGGACAACACUGACGCUGAGGCACGAAAGCGUGGGGAGCAAACAGGAUUAGAUACCCGCGUAGUCCCUGUCUCUUAUAA
This 301-nucleotide ribosomal RNA is filed under the name uncultured bacterium. RNAcentral describes it as "partial 16S ribosomal RNA". It matches the Rfam family "Bacterial small subunit ribosomal RNA", at positions 509 to 809 of the family's 1533-position model. The record is from RNAcentral.